GAGACAAGUUGUGACAGGUCUACCUAUGGCUCAGUUCAUGAAUUUGCAGAGCGCUUAGCUGAACAAUGCAGCGCACUCACACGUGUGAGUAGCUCGCUAAUUUGGAUGUGCCCCUAAUGACCUCGUGGUGCCUCCAGCUGAGCAAAAAGCACAGGAGAAGCUGGCUGGGAUGGGGCUUCCUAAGUUAGAUAAGAAUAGUAGCGGAAGGAAAGCAAAUGAGCAAAUGGAGCUAAGGGAAGGUACACAAAUUGUACUAGUAAACUUUGGACCUGUGUUCGAGGCAUCUGGUGGUGAACAACCUCAUCUUUCAGGUGGUCACCUGUGGCCCUGUGAGUUGUCUCUGGCCAGGUCCAGGACCAGAUAAUUCAUGAGAAGAGAGAUGCGUUUAACUUCUGUCCAUUUUCUUCUGGUGCGCUCUGAAGUGGAAGGAAGGUUGGCUCCGACUUGUCUGCUCAGUGCCUUGAAUGGGUAAAUGAAGAGAGCUCUCCAUCCCUGCGGAAUAUGGAGGGGCCUGCUAUGCCCAGGCUAUUAAUAUUCAUAGCCGUCUUGACCAGUGGGGAUUGAAUUCAUGGAACUAGCUGGAAUCAGAGUGGGUUUGUUUUUCAAUUUUUUUAAUGAAGGAGAUGGAGCUUUAAUUGUUAUUAUGUAUAAAUCCCUUUUGUUCCUCUUUGUGAGGGAGUGGGUUAUUUUUAUUGUCUUUCACUAGUAAGAGUUACUUGCUUAAGAAGCUUUCAAAAUAUUAACCAGUCGCUGAAGGUUCUUUGAAGAAAAAUAUGACUGCUCGUGUAAACAAUUAAUGGUUGUUAAGCAUGGCAGUGUAUAUUAUGACAAACAACACAUGCUACAUUAUGCCAGCUGGUGUAAUGAUGUGAUAAUGUCUGACUCAUUAACUCUGGCACACAGUUUACGAUGCCCUUCUAUGACAGGAUUAAUUGAUUCACACAUACAUUAAAACAAAAAUAACUAAACUGAAAUUCAGCUGGAAGCCUGGCUUCUCAUUUGUCAUCAGCCCUGUUGGUGGCUGAAGCCAACCCAGGCCCAGUGCAGGGUGAGCUGAGGUUCGUCCACGAACCUUUGUUUUGUCCAACUGGAUUGGCAUCUUGAAAGGAGGAAAGAAGUUGUGUGAGCAGUGGUUUGACUCAAGGAUUGCUGCAAGAGAUUCUUGUGCUUCUGGAAUUGUUUGAGUCAAUUACAGAUGGGGAAAAUCUCAAAGAAUUUAUAAGAAGUUUUUCAAUGAAUCUUAGAAUCACAAAGGUUGGAAAGACCAGCGAGGUGAUCAUCUAGUCCAACUGUCAACCCAUUCCCAGCAUGCCUGCUAAUUUUUGCUUAAGUGAGGACUUGAAUGCUCAGCCCAUGUUUGUUGUCCUUAUAGAACAAGA
Molecule: long non-coding RNA, 1379 nt
Filed under: Phasianus colchicus (ring-necked pheasant)
Lineage: Eukaryota; Metazoa; Chordata; Aves; Galliformes; Phasianidae
Description: lncRNA (ENSPCLG00000009224.1)
Source: RNAcentral